GGUUUUUCUCCGGGAACCCUCAUUGCGCACAAAUCCAGCCCGUCGCCAGUACCGCCAAAUGCAGUCUGGCUGGAAAAGAUCAUCCCGUUUUCAUCCUCCCAGUGAAUGAUACCACUAAACUAAAGCCUGGAGUUUUGGGGGCUCUGAAAUAUGAACUAGAAUGGAAUUUCCACAAGGCUGGUGACUUUGUCUGGAACAUGCUCAGGCUUAUCUUCUGAACUCCAGACUUACAACAAUUAUCAACUUGACGUAACCACCCUGAUGUCUCACACAUUCUAAACACAAAACUGCUCAAACCUGCUGCUCCUACACAGGCUUCCCCUCCUCAUCAUUCAUCCAGUCAUUCAAACCAGAAACCUCAGAGUCAUUAUUUUCUCCUCCUGCAUCUAAGCAAUACUGUUGACGUGUUGAUUCUGCCUCCAAGCUAUAUCAUCAAAUCAGGCUGCUGCUCUCCAUUUCUACUGCCACCUGGAUUCUGCAGUCACCUCCCUACAGGCCUUCCUGCUUCCAUGUUUGCCCCCUCCAAGCCACUUUCAAUGAGUGGCUAAGCAUCACUUAAAAAAUAAAAGGGAGUUGGACUUCCCUGGUGGCACAGUGGUUAAGAAUCUGCUUGCCAAUGCAGGGGACAUCACUUCCGGAGAAGAGCUAGCUGUUGUUUUCCAGACUUGAAAAGCAGACCCUGUGCUAACGUCUCCUGUGAGAAGUCUUCCCCAGUUCCUCUCACGCUAAUUGCCCUCUUCUCUGUGCUUCCAGAGAACAAGGAAUCUGCCUGUUAGGGAAGUUACUAGUGACAAGUCCUAGUAACAAACAAACAAACAAGCAAACAGAGCAUUCUUACUACCUAAUGGGCCCCAUGCUAGGCUCUGGGGUUUGGACAUGAACGGGACUUAUUCCAUUGUAUUGUCCUCACUGGUUGCCAAGGUCACUGAGGGUGAGCGCCUCUGGGACAGGGACUGUAUCUUAUACGUUGCUUGGUUUGGUGGUUUUCUACUUCAUCAGCCUUAACACCCUAGGAAUGGAGCAAAUACUCUGUAAGACCGUCUUUACCACCCUGAAAUGAACCUUACUGAUAAAAUAACCUACCUACACAUACUAUUAAAAAAAAAAUCAAACUGUAAUGCUCUAACGGUAAUACAACAGAAAAAUAAA
This is a long non-coding RNA of Balaenoptera musculus (blue whale), 1149 nucleotides long. RefSeq lists it as uncharacterized. Lineage: Eukaryota; Metazoa; Chordata; Mammalia; Artiodactyla; Balaenopteridae. The transcript is spliced from 4 exons. The record is from RefSeq and is a predicted model, not a curated record.